CCUACGGGUGGCAGCAGUGAGGAAUAUUGGACAAUGGGCGCGAGCCUGAAGCAGCCAAGUAGCGUGAAGGAUGACUGCCCUACGGGUGGUAAACUUCGUUUAUAAAGGAAUAAAGUGAGGCAAGUGUGCCUUUUUGUAUGUACUUUAUGAAUAAGGAUAGGCUAACUACGUGCCAGCAGCCGCGGUAAUACGGAGGAUACGAGCGUUAUCCGGAUUGAUUGGGUUUAAAGGGAGCGUAGAUGGGUUGUUAAGUCAGUUGUGAAAGUUUGCGGCUGAACUGUAAGAUUGCAAUUGAUACUGGCAUUCUUGAGUACAGUUGAGGUAGGCGGAAUUCGGGGUGUAGCGGUGAAAUGCUUAGAUAUCACGAAGAACUCCGAUGGCGAAGGCAGCCUACUAAGCUUCCACUGACAUUGAUGCUCGAAAGUGUGGGUAUCAAACAGGAUUAGAUACCCGAGUAGUC
This 460-nucleotide ribosomal RNA is filed under the name uncultured bacterium. RNAcentral's name for it is "partial 16S ribosomal RNA". It matches the Rfam family "Bacterial small subunit ribosomal RNA", at positions 338 to 795 of the family's 1533-position model. The record is from RNAcentral.